Molecule: ribosomal RNA, 467 nt
Filed under: uncultured bacterium
Lineage: Bacteria
Description: partial 16S ribosomal RNA
Rfam family: Bacterial small subunit ribosomal RNA
Source: RNAcentral
GACGAACGCUGGCGGCGUGCUUAACACAUGCAAGUCGAACGGAAAGGCCCUGCUUUUGUGGGGUGCUCGAGUGGCGAACGGGUGAGUAACACGUGAGUAACCUGCCCUUGACUUUGGGAUAACUUCAGGAAACUGGGGCUAAUACCGGAUAGGGCUCCUGCUGCAUGGUGGGGGUUGGAAAGUUUCGGCGGUUGGGGAUGGACUCGCGGCUUAUCAGCUUGUUGGUGGGGUAGUGGCUUACCAAGGCUUUGACGGGUAGCCGGCCUGAGAGGGUGACCGGCCACAUUGGGACUGAGAUACGGCCCAGACUCCUACGGGAGGCAGCAGUGGGGUAUAUUGCACAAUGGGCGGAAGCCUGAUGCAGCAACGCCGCGUGCGGGAUGACGGCCUUCGGGUUGUAAACCGCUUUCGCCUGUGACGAAGCGUGAGUGACGGUAAUGGGUAAAGAAGCACCGGCUAACUACGUG